Molecule: long non-coding RNA, 7630 nt
Filed under: Arabidopsis lyrata
Lineage: Eukaryota; Viridiplantae; Streptophyta; Magnoliopsida; Brassicales; Brassicaceae
Description: long non-coding RNA (ALYR_LNC003165)
Source: RNAcentral
GAUAUUUGAUAGAAUAUGUAUGUAUUUGCAUUCGAGAAAUCUGUUGAAUAUGAUAGAAACACAUGCAUAUAAUAAAUAAAAGAACCACGUCAAUCGCAAAUAUGACAAACACAUGCAUAUAAUAAAUAAAGAGCCACAUACAUCGCAAAUAUGACAAACACAUGCAUUAUGCAUAUAAUAGAUAAAUAGCCACCCACAUACAUCGCAAAUAUGAAAAACACAUGCAUAUAAUAAUAAAUAAAGAGCUACGUGCAUCGCAAACUAAACCACAACGUAAGAAAACAGUGAAGGUAUGUUUGUAACUGGUUGUUAGACUCAAGAUGAUGGCACAGCUCAAGAGGUGAUAUGAUAACAGGACGUCUGUGUGACACAAGAGUUUUAUGCAGACAACAACAGAGGUAUUGAAACAUCUGUGUGACGCAAGAGUAUCAACAGAAAGUAUAAGAGUUGUGUUCCACAGGCAGCAGUUGUGUAACACAACAGGAGAACUGAACGCAGGAAGAAUAAAGUUGGGAAUGAAUAUGACGUGGCGUGAUUCUAUUGGAGACGUGAUGUUUCCUUUAGUGGUGGCUCGGAUACUUUCGAAUCAAGGAAAAAAGAUUGCGAGAAUAUUUGGAACUUAGGGUUUUGUCUUGAUAUAUACUACAAGAAAACACGUCAUUAGCGACGUUAUUCAGCGACUGAUAAAUUAGUCGCUGAAUUUGAGGACUGAAUUGCGACAUUUAGGCGACUGAAUGUUGCCUAAACAACAUUAGUCGCUAAUCCGUCUGCAUUUGGCGACGGAUAACAAUAGUCGUUGUAUAGUAGCCAAAUUAGGCGACUAAGUAGCUUCUAAAUAUUUAGUCUACAAACUGGGCUACUAAUUAGCUACUUUAUAGCGACUAUAAUUUCUAAUUGGGCCUUUUAAUUGGUCUCGGUCCAUUAGAUUUACUGCGUUGGCCCAUAGUAUAAAUUCCCUUCUUUUAGGUCUAAUCGAUGGCUCCUCAUGUUCGUGGUGGAAGAGGAAGCGGAAGAGGGAAGAGGGGACCGAAGUCUCCGGUGAAGCGACCCACUGUCGUCCCUACUCGACCCACAUCUUCCGGUGUGUCGAGUCGAAGACCAAGGAGCCUUCUGUCGCAGUAUGAGUUCACGCCGGCGAACCCUGAAGAUCCAAAUCAUGGGACUGAGCAUCCGCCGAAUCGUCAGCCUUCACCGCAACUGAGUCUAAGAGACUAUCCACCUCCGCUGCAGCUUUUCCAGUCGGGCGAAGGAUCUCAGCAUGCAGCUGGUGGAUCUCCUCGGGGCUCUGGAACGACUCCGUUUCGAGCAUCUGUCUCCUCUGUUCAUCGUUUAGCAUCCGGAUCUCCCCGUGCCUCUCAGUCUCCAGCUCCAGUUCAGCCUCCAGCGCCGGUUCCUUCUCCAGUGGUUAAUCAACAACGACCACCAAGAGCCUCUCUGUCUGGUCACAGUUCUCAAGCUCAGAACGUUGAAGAAGAAGAAGCUGCAUCGGAUGAAGAAGCUGAUGAUGAAACUACAUCGGAGGAUGAAGGUUUGAGGGAUUCAACACUUCCAGAAGAUGUCCUCGCGACUUUACAUGAUACGCUUCUCAUCCCAGGCCGUGAGCUCUAUACUACUCUCAUCUCUCCGACUUUAGAGCCUGGGACGACAUGGUAAGGAUUUUGAAUGUUUAUAGGAUUGUUUGUAUAGAAUUGUGUAUAGGAUUGUCUAGAAUUGUGUAUAGGAUUAGGUAUGGUUUAGGUCUGUUUGUGUUAAGGUAUGGUUUGUGUAUAGGUUUAGGUAUGGUUUAGGUCUGUUUGUGUAUAGGUUCUGGUUCUUGUUUAGGGUUUAGGUAUGGUUCUGGUUCUUGUUUAGGGUUUAGGUAUGGUUCUGUUUAGGUAUAGUUUGUGAAGAGGUUUAGGUCUGUUUGUAUUCUUGUGUAUAGAUUGUAAGUUUGUUUAGGUAUAGUUUGUAUUCUUGUGUUGUAUUCUUCUGUUUGUAUUCUUGUGUAUAGAUUGUAAGUUUGUUUAUUUGAUUGUAGGUUUGGUAAGGAUAAGGGUAAGCUGACCCGGAAGGUCACCAAGUGUUUUACUAACAAGUUUGAUGGACCAUACUACAAUUGGAGUUGUGUGCCAAUUGGAAGAAGAGAAAGAUACUUUCUUGAAUUCGCUGUAAGCUUCUAUCCCUCUUCUACUACUGUAUUUUCAUAUUGUAUUUUGAUAACUAACAUCUGCUUCACUGUCCUCUUGUUUUGGUAGAAAACACACACCUGGCAUCCCUCAGUUACAGGUGUGGUUGAAGCCAAGUUCUACAAGAUCAUUGCACUGCGUAUGAAAGACAUGGUUAGUAAGGCAGGGUCAAAAAGCCCAAGAGUGAGGCCGUAUUGGAUUGAGAAAACUCUGUGGAGAGAGAUGUGUAAGUAUUGGGAUACUGAAGAAGCCCAAGCCAAGAGUUCAACCACAUCAGCAGCUAGGAUGUCUGACCGUAAUGGUCUUGGUCCUCGCAAGCAUAUUUCUGGUCCAAAGUCCUUUUUACAAGUGGAGCAAGAGAUGGUAAGUUACAUGUCUGUUUUAAAUACUUGUUUUGUUUAUUACUCGCUGACAUCUCUGUUACUAUAUUUCAGGAAGUUGAAUUGGGAAGACCUCCUACUAUUGGAGAAGUGUUCAUCAGAACUCAUACCAAGAAGGAUGGGACAUUUGUGGAUAGGAUGGCGCAGGAAAUCCAUCAGGCAUAUCUCAAGAACAAGGCAGCUAAGUUGGCUGCCCUGCAAGAGAAUGAUGAACAGGAUGAUGGUAAUUCGCGUCAGUCUGAGCUGUCUCAGGAGGAGGAUGAUGAGAUAUUUCUUCAGGUAGUAGUCUUAUCUUUUGCUCUGUAGUCUACUUUUAUCUGUUAAGCACUAAUGUUUUUACUUUGUUUUGCAGUCUACUGUCACAAAUGAUAGAGGAGAUUACUUUGGAAUUGGCAGCUUAGGGGUUUACAUCAACGGGAAGCGCAAGUACGCAGGAAGCAGUUCUUCUUUCACAACCCUGCAGUCACAGCUUGAGGAUGCUAACCGCAAGAUAGAGGAACAAGCAGCUCUACAAGCAGCACGUGAAGCAGAGGCAUUGCGGGUCGCAGCAUCACAAGCAGCUGAGAUCAAGCAUUUGUCGAUGGUGAAGAAGUACCUGAGUGAAACUGACCCUAAUUUCCUGGCCUUCCUCAAUUCCCAAUCAACUCCUGCUGCGGAUGAUCAUUCAGAGGUCCAACCAAAUCCAACUCCUGCUGCUAAUGCUGAUGGUACUACUCCUGCUACUUAGCUUUCUCUCCUCUUAACUCAAAAACUUGAACUUGAUCUUUUGGUCUUGUACUUAUGGUACAAGUAUGUUUGUAUUUAUGUCUUGUGAACUUGAUAUUUUGGACUUGUACUUUUGGUCUUGUGAACUUGUAUGUUUUUAUGUUUAUUAAGAACUUGUAUGUUUUGGUCUUGUGAACUUGUAUGUUUUGUAUGUUUGGUUUUAAUUAGUAAAUGCAAACGUAAUUGGAAUCAAAAUAAGUAGGCAAAAUCCAAAAAUAAACUUCCAAUAAGUCGCAAAACGAUAGCCAUUCAGUCACUAAAACAUUCAUAAAACAGUCGCCUUGUAGUGUCUUUUUGGCGAUUCCACAGUCACCUAUUAGUCGCCAAACCAGUCGCCAAAUAGUGACAUAUUAGUAGCAGAACCGUCGCCACUUUAGCGACUCAUACGCGACGCACAGGCGACUUCAAAUAGUUAUCGCAGAAUAGUCGCUAUUUAGCGACUAUUAGGCUACAAUUUAUUUUAGCGACGCAGUGUUCGGCGACAACGUUUAUUAGUCGCUAAUUAGUGGUUAUUAUGUGUUUAGCGACUCUUUAGUUACGUUUCUUGUAGUCGCUAAAUCCAUGUUUUCUUGUAGUGUGAGUAUAUAUAGAUGGCUGCCGUGACAAAGAGAGGUUGCGCGUCUAUGGUAUAUUUGAGAAAGAGACACACAUGCGUGUGUGGCGUCGCCCCACGAAUUCAGAUGAAGAUCUGUUGGUGGUAUUCCUUUGGAUUCUGCAGCCGUUAGAGAAGACGGUGAUGCACCGGUGCUGCAGGGUGGUAGUCAAGACAUGCGUGGCUUGGUACUGUUUCCAAAGUCCAUCUAGAAAAGAAUGGUAGGCAUAGUUAUGCUGUAAUAUCAUAUGCAAUCUUGUUCUAGUGGAAUGAUUUCUGGACUAGGUCCCGAGGAUGUAGGUUGUUAACCGAACCCCGUUAACAAAUCUCUGCGUCAUCUUUACUUUAUGCUCUUUACAUUCGCUGCACUCUCCCAUCGUACAAACGCAUAGAUCUAGCUACCACACAGUAACUUCAAACAGAUCAACGUGCAUACAUUUAUUGACGCAUUAAUAUUCGUAGCUAUAGUGAGAUCAGUGACUAGGUGUGCUCCUUGGGAAAGCCUUUGGGGGAGGAGGAGGCCUACAGUGACGGCACCUUCUUCCAGGCGAAACAGUGGGAACGGUGGGCGCCCAGGGCCGUGGAAACCCAGGUGGUAAAGUAAUGGGCCGAGGCCGAGGCCGCGGUAAAAAAGUAAUCGAGCGCUUUUGGACCGUCACUGGAUCCGUAUGGUUUAUCUCCUCUGCACAAGUACCAAUCAAACGGUUUACACAUACAUAUUACUUAAAACAGUUUUGUCAUUUUAGUAACAUUUUUAUAUAACUCAACACCCCUAAUAAACCUAACUGAUAAAGUAAAAUGGGAAUAACUUACGAAUAUUUAAAGACAAAAUAAAAAAUGCUCACCAAGUUCACGGAGUUCCAUUCGUGCGCCAAGGACAUUAUCUAUAUGUGGAAAUACAAGAAGAAGAAGGAGAAAGAGAAACAUGGAGGAGACUACAGAAGACGAUGCCAUCUUCACUAAUAUUCCUUCUUAAUUUACUUAUCAGUAUGACUCAAAUUUAUGCAUUUAUAUAGAAUCGAGAGGUGAAGAUAUAUGGUAGAGAAUAAGAAUAAAAUCUUGGUUUUACUGUAAUGAUCAUGGGUGUUUUGGAAAUGAUAUAUCUUAAAUUGUACUUAAAACCUUGUCAGAAGACUCUUGGCUUAUGAGCUUUGAGACUCGAAUAUCCCAUCCUCAAGUGAGUCCAAGAAAAAAUUCAGUUCAACCCACUAUACUAAUUUCAAAUUCAUUGAUCUGUUUCUUUUUUUUUUUUUGUUUUUAAAUUCAUUGAUUAUUGGAGAUUAUGUUGGUUUAUUCCGGUUUAGUCAUUUGGUUAUGUUAACCACAAUUGUAGCUUAGUAAAAAUACUCUCUGUACAACUAUUUUCAGCGUUCUAAUGAGAAAUCGAAUCUAUAACAAACUUUCUCAUCUUCUCUCUUGGCUAAUAUUGAUCUUUACAUAUACAAACACGUCUUCAUGGAGGAAUCCAUUCAAGAAUAACCUUUUCACAUCCAUUAGAAACAACUUAGUUUUUAGGAUGCAUGGUCAUGUCUUGUAUUAAUUAAACAAUAGUAUAGAGAGGAAGAGUUCAUACAUAAGGACAGAAACCCAAUCCUAAGAAUUGAUUAACAAAAAUUAUAUAGCAAGGGAAAUCUUCUACUAUCCCAGUGGAUGCAUGGGACACCAAAAACUUUGGAUGUGUCACGGCGACACAAGAGACCUUGGAGCAGUGAUGACAAGGAGAUGAUCACAUGAACAACGCGGUAAUAACAUGAUGUUUUCUCUUAUGACACCGUACCCUCUCACAUAUAUAUUCACACACAAUGUUUCGAGGCUUUAUGUUAUGGGAUGUUGUUGCUAUAGUUCCGGCCAUUUUAAUCAGUUUCGAACUCAGAUUAGGGAGGCUUUUAGAAAAUCAAAGAAAAAUCUUCAUAAAUUAGAACUCAUGGUAAAUGUGAAUUCGACCAUCUUCUUUUGUUUUUAGCUCAGUACUUAGAUUUCUCUUUUUCUCUUUCCAUCUCGGUAUAUAAACGUCUUCUUUUUUUUCUAACUCGGUAAAUAAAUGUUUUCCUUAUUUUUAGAAUAGUAAUCGAGCAAUUUUUGUUUAACUCGAUAAACAAUUAUUUUUUUUAGCUCAGUAAACCAGUGUUUUUUUAGCUUAGGAAACGAAUUUUUUUUUUUUCGGUAGACGAGAGUCUAGGUUCGGAUAUAUUAAUUUUUUUUAUAGAGUAAAUGUUUCCUCUAAUAUCUUCAUUAACAUUAAAAGUUUUCAUUUCUCAAAUUAUACUCUUAAAACUACAUAUUUUACUAGAACUAGAUGAAUACCCACGCGUAGCGUGGGUAUUUGUGUUAAAAAUUGCAGAAAAAUAUGAUUAUGUUUUUUGUUACAUGUUAUUUUGUGUGUUAUUAUGUAAUUGAUAAAGUCAAAUCUAUUUUCUAUAGUUAUAAUUUUUAUGAUUAGAUUCAUCUUUGACUCGAAAUAUUAAUUCUACGUUUUUAAAAUAUAAACCUGAUUAUUUAUAUACCUACGAUCCUAAUCAUUCAUUAUCAUGAAUACAUACAACAAUAAUAUAUGAUAUAUUGAUACAAUGAUAUGUGAUUAUGUUACUUAUGUGGUUUGAAACUUGCAUAACUUAAUUCUAAACAAACAAUUAUUUGUUCCAUUCAAUCUCUCGUCAUCUAGUACGCCAACCACAUCAUAAUAUGCUAGUAAAUUAAGUCAACACUUUAGAUCUCUCUUCUUGCAUACAACUGUAUAAGAGAGAGUCUCGUGUUUUAAAUUUCUUGGUAUGUCUAACGUCUCAAAGGACCCUUAAGUGAAAAAAAUUGUGUGUCAAUGUUACCGACUUAUCAUAACGCAUAAAAAUAAAAAGAGAGAAUGCCAGAAAACAUAACAUGAAGUUAGGUAGCAAAUAUAUAAACUACAACAAAAGUAAUUUUUUAGCUAUUAUCGUGUAAUGACCAUCGAUAAAAAAUUUAGUAAUAUAAGAAGAGUAGAAUGAAAAUAGUGCUUAUUACAAUAGUAUGAUCUUUUACUUUAUUUUUUAGUUUUUUAAAAAAUCAAUUAAGAGUGAGAUUAAUGAAAAAUUUAACAUAACAAAAGACUUUUGAUUUUCUCUCAAUUAAUUUUGCUAAUUUUUUUAUUUAAAUAAUGUCGAAUGACACAUGUCAUUUUCUUAUGUGAUGAUGUGGCAUUCAUAUGGAAAGAGUUAGCCAACUUUUAUAUAUAUGAUUCCAUUUAUUUUAAUUUCCUCGUUCAACCUCCCAUGGCAUCAUAGCAUUUAACUUGUUUAAUCUCUACUUCCAAUUUUGUAUAAUUGUUUUGGACUACUUCCCAAUCUUGAUACUUGACAGAAUAUGUAUGUAUUUGCAUUCGCUAAAUCUGUAGAAUAUGUUAAACACAUGCAUAUAAUAGAUAAAGAGGCACCCACAUACAUCGCAAAUAUGACAAACACAUGCAUAUAAUAGAUAAAGAGCCACAUACAUCGCAAACGAAAGUUACGAAACCACAACGUAAGAAAACACAUUAACAUGCAUAUAUAUAUCAGCAUAUCUUUAUUGACGCAUUCCAAGCUAUAGUGACAUCAGUGACUAGGUACGUGUGUUCCUUAGGAAAACCUUUUUGGGGGCGGAGGAGGUCUACAUGCAGGGAAGAUUUUUGGGCAGUUCUUAAUCUUAGGCACACGAACUCGCCCCCACCGUGGAAUUGGAAUGCCCUUUUGGACCGUCACUGGAUCCGCAUGGUUUAU